AAAUAUCUAAGCGACAUAUUGCGAAACAAAUGUUUAUCGCAAGAACAAAAUUAGGCGGAGAAAAAAAAAAAAAAAAAAAAUAAUAAUAAUCAGAACAAAAACAAUAAGUCUUUCCACAGAAAAGUGGAAAGACUUAAUAAAAAUAUAAAGCAAUUGUUUCAAAAACAAUUGUUAGGCAGUCUUUCCCCUAUGAUGAAUGGAUAAUUGAUUUUUUUUAUUGAUUGAUUUGGAAAAAAGGGGGGGGGUAUUUGUUUAUUUGUUUGUUUGUUUGCUUUGGUAUGGGGUCUAUAUUAUUAUGUUACCGGAGAAGUUUCAUGUUUAGUUUGGAAAGUUUUUCUUUUAUUUUAGAUACAGCGCGCGCGCAAGAUUGAGGAGACAUCACGUGACGCGGGUUUAUAUUAAGAAAACUUAGUCUUUUUAUUUCUUUUUAGGUCGGGACUUUGAACAGACAACAUCUAUAGAGAUGGAAUGUACACAAUGUAAUUUCUUUUGUCAUUGUAGGAAAUUGACAUUUUGAUCACAGUUCACCAGCAGUGCAUGUUUUGGAUUUAAUCGAUCCGGUGUAACUUUAAAACACAUUUAAUGAUUAUUUUUGAUAAUGUCCAUUUUUCAGCACCUGUUUGUAACACAGAUUAGUAUUUCAAUCUCGGAGCGGACAUUUUAUUGUAGGUUUUUACUGAGAUUUACGGACCUAGCAAGCGAUUUUUACGGCAUUGCCAUUCUUUUUUCUAGGAAAAGUCUUGAGAGAUAUCUGCAAAAAGUUUUUUUUAUGAACCUUCAGUACAUGUAUGCCCUGCUGACUGCAAAUUUUCAGGUCGAUUGGACUUGUAGUUUCAGAGAAUAUGUGGAUUUUUUUUCAGAAGAGACGUAAGAACAAUAAUAAAAUAAAAAUUUUCUUGAAUAAUUGAGAGUUUGUUCCUUCAAUAUACUGUCAUAAAUAAACAGUCAUACAUAUUGAUUGAUUGAUUAGUUGGUUGAUGAUUGAUUGAUUGGUUGGUUGGUUGGUUUGUUGUUGGUUGGUUGAUUAAACACGUUUGAUAGGGUCACUUAGAACAAGGGAAAAAAAACUCAAGAGACCUUGCAUCCCGUAUUAAACGCAUGACACGGAAACAUACAUUAAGUGAUUGAUUGGUUGGUUGGUUGGUUGGUUGGUUGGUUAAACACAUUGGUUAAACAUGUUGGUUUAACACGUUGGUUAAACACGUUGGCUGGUUAAACACGUUUGAUGGGCUCAAUUUAAACAAGCGAAAAAAAAACAUCUUGGAUCCCGUAUUUAACACAUGAAACGGAAACAUGCAUUGAUUUAUUUAUUGGUUGGUUGGUUGGUUGGUUGGUUAAACACGUUGGUUAAACAUGUCGGUUAAACACGUAGUUUAAACACGUUGGCUGGUUAAACACGUUUGAUAGGCUCAAUUUUAACAAAGCGAAAAAAAACCAUCUUGGAUCCCGUAUUUAACACAUGAAACGGAAACAUGCAUUGAUUGAUUGAUUGAUUGGUUGGUUGGUUGGUUGGUUGGUUGGUUAAACACGUUGGUUAAACACGUUGGUUAAACAUGUUGGUUAAACACGUUUGAUAGGCUCAAUUAAAACAAGCGAAAAAAAAGAAACCUUGGAAUCCCGUAUCAAACACAUGAAACGGAAACAUUGAUUGAUUGAUUGAUUGAUUGGUUGGUUGGUUGGUUGGUUGGUUGGUUGGUUGGUUGGUUGAAAUUCAAACACUCAUAAAACUGUUUAAAUAGUGCCAAAACCACAUAAUUUGAUGACCUUGACCUUUGACCUUGUGACCUUCGUCAAGGUCAUUGCUCCACAAGGUCAUUGCAAAAGACCCUAUGGGUCAAGGACCUUUUGUUUAAGAGUUUUGCCUAAAAAUGGCUUUUUAAAAACCAUCGAUGGGAGUUAUGUCCCUUAUAUGAUGGUAAAAUCAAUAUAGUCAUAAUGUAAAAAAGUUGCCCCUUAAAGUACCAAGCAUUUUUCACUGCUUAAUUUUUUUGUAUCUAUAACCGUUCAAGAAUUAUAGGGAAAUGAAAAACUUAUAAAAAUCUAAAAUAUGACCUUGACCUUUGACCUUGACCUAAUUUUCUAAGUUAGGACCCAGGGGACUCAAAUAAAAACAUUCCAGGGUUAUACGGUUAACGGUUUAGGAGUUUAAAAAACAUACCGACAAAUUUAUUCCGUAAAGGUAGAUAACUCCUAUAAAAUUUCAUCAAAUCGCUUCGAUCCAAAUACGCCAAAAAUUACUGAAGAUGUAACGAACAGUUUGUAAAAAGAAUUUUGUCGCUUUCUUAUUUUGUUACGAAGGAGAUGCACACAGAGGAUAAACAGUGAAAAGGGAGAUAACUCUUACAUAGAAAAUGGUUCGCCUUAGCAGGGUCAAAUUUAAAAGCGCAUAAACUAUACGAUACCAUAUGAAAUAUCUAAGCGACAUAUUGCGAAACAAACAUUUAUCGCAAGAACAAAAUUUGACGGAAAAAAAAAAAAAAUAAUAAUAAUUAAAAACCAAUUGUUCAGAGAACAAUUGAAAGUCUUUCCAAACUAAAGUAAUUUGGAUAAGAAGGUAGUUUCUUUAUACUGAUGCGAUAAAUGAUGGUUUAAUUAUAUUUUUGAGUGAUAUAAGGGAGAUAAUAUGCUACUUCCGGUGAAAUGAAUGUCACAUCCGGUCUCAUAUGAUAGCUUCUUUCACACUGAUUCCAAAAAUAUAUAGUUUCUAUAUACUUUUGUAUGUAGAAUGGGAGAUAAUUGGCCACUUCCGGUUUGUUGGAAGUCAUUUUUAGUCUUCAGUAAUCUGUUCAUGUAUCUAUAUGACAAAAUAUAUGGAUUCUG
This 2820-nucleotide long non-coding RNA is filed under the name Mytilus galloprovincialis (Mediterranean mussel). The record is from RNAcentral. Lineage: Eukaryota; Metazoa; Mollusca; Bivalvia; Mytilida; Mytilidae.